CAGUAGCCACGGGAAAACGUAAGGUGCAAGCGUUAAUCGGAAUUACUGGGCGUAAAGCGUGCGCAGGCGGUCCGCUAAGACAGAUGUGAAAUCCCCGGGCUUAACCUGGGAACUGCAUUUGUGACUGGCGGGCUAGAGUAUGGCAGAGGGGGGUAGAAUUCCACGUGUAGCAGUGAGAUGCGUAGAGAUGUGGAGGAAUACCGAUGGCGAAGGCAGCCCCCUGGGCCAAUACUGACGCUCAUGCACGAAAGCGUGGGGAGCAAACAGGAUUAGAUACCCGCGUAGUCCCUGUCUCUUAUAC
Molecule: ribosomal RNA, 301 nt
Filed under: uncultured bacterium
Lineage: Bacteria
Description: partial 16S ribosomal RNA
Rfam family: Bacterial small subunit ribosomal RNA
Source: RNAcentral